This 246-nucleotide ribosomal RNA is filed under the name uncultured Bacillota bacterium. RNAcentral's name for it is "uncultured Firmicutes bacterium partial 16S ribosomal RNA". It matches the Rfam family "Bacterial small subunit ribosomal RNA", at positions 796 to 1041 of the family's 1533-position model. The record is from RNAcentral. Lineage: Bacteria; Bacillati; Bacillota.
CACACUGUAAACGAUGAAUGCUAGGUGUAGGGGGUAUCGACCCCUUCUGUGCCGGAGUAAACACAAUAAGCAUUCCGCCUGGGGAGUACGGUCGCAAGAUUAAAACUCAAAGGAAUUGACGGGGGCCCGCACAAGCAGCGGAGCAUGUGGUUUAAUUCGAAGCAACGCGAAGAACCUUACCAGGUCUUGACAUCCAGGUAAAGCUGCAGAGAUGCAGUGUGUGCUUGCACAAUCUGAGACAGGUGG